AUUGAACGCUGGCGGCAUGCUUUACACAUGCAAGUCGAACGGCAGCGCGGGGCAACCUGGCGGCGAGUGGCGAACGGGUGCGUAAUACAUCGGAACGUACCCAGAAGUGGGGGAUAACGUAGCGAAAGUUACGCUAAUACCGCAUACGUUCUACGGAAGAAAGUGGGGGACCUUCGGGCCUCAUGCUUUUGGAGCGGCCGAUGUCUGAUUAGCUAGUUGGUGAGGUAAAGGCUCACCAAGGCGACGAUCAGUAGCUGGUCUGAGAGGACGACCAGCCACACUGGGACUGAGACACGGCCCAGACUCCUACGGGAGGCAGCAGUGGGGAAUUUUGGACAAUGGGCGCAAGCCUGAUCCAGCAAUGCCGCGUGAGUGAAGAAGGCCUUCGGGUUGUAAAGCUCUUUUGUCAGGGAAGAAACGGCUGAGGAUAAUACCUUCGGCUAAUGACGGUACCUGAAGAAUAAGCACCGGCUAACUACGUG
RNAcentral lists this ribosomal RNA (482 nucleotides) under uncultured bacterium. Its description in RNAcentral is "partial 16S ribosomal RNA". It matches the Rfam family "Bacterial small subunit ribosomal RNA", at positions 30 to 507 of the family's 1533-position model. The record is from RNAcentral.